GUGCUCGCUUCAGCAGCACAUAUACUAAAAUUGGAACAGUACACAGAAGAUUAGCAUGGCCCCUGCGCAAGGAUGACACCCAAAUUCGUGAAGCAUUUCAUCUUUUU
This is a small nuclear RNA of Heterocephalus glaber (naked mole-rat), 107 nucleotides long. NCBI's taxonomy places the organism in Eukaryota, Metazoa, Chordata, Mammalia, Rodentia, Bathyergidae. The record is from Ensembl.